CUCUUUCUUUGCUCUUCUUUCUUUUCCUCUUUCCUUGUUCUUGAAUCGGCAGCACCAUCUCAUACCAACAGCCCUCAUUUUCUCUCUCACCAAAUCUCUAUCUCUCUCUCUCUAAGAAGAAAUCAAACUCUUACUAAAGUCUUAGCUUCAAUUGUGGGCGACGAGAAUGAGAACAUGGACACUUGAGCUCCUCUUAUACAAAUCUCUCACAUCUUCUGUUUUCAAGUUCUUUCCUGGAAGCAGCGAGAGUAUUAGAGGUGUAGCUGCUACAAUAGUAUUGAAGGGUCUUGAAGUUCUUCUUUUCAUCUUUGGCAUCUCCCUUGGAGCAAAGCAAUGUAGCAACUAGAAUUUGAGGCACGGUAUUUAGGAAGUUGCAGAGCUUAGAAGAGACAAACAAGUGAAAAAUGUCAAGUAUUUUCUCUUGUCUUGCUUCACUUGAAUGCAUGUUGCAUGCCAAGUGUUUGGUAAAUUACCUCUAUAAGGAUGGUGACGAUGCGGGUGAUCAUUCUCCUACUAUGCAAAAUCAAUCAUCAAGCUUGUGAUUUUAUUUUUUUUAGUUUGCAACUGUGAUAUAACAUUCUAGACAAUUGGAAUCUCUUGUAUUAGGCAUAACAAUUAUUAUAGCUAAAAAUUGUAUUAUUGUAUAAUA
Molecule: long non-coding RNA, 649 nt
Organism: Quercus robur (English oak)
Lineage: Eukaryota; Viridiplantae; Streptophyta; Magnoliopsida; Fagales; Fagaceae
Exons: 6
Source: RefSeq, a predicted model, not a curated record